Molecule: ribosomal RNA, 425 nt
Filed under: uncultured bacterium
Lineage: Bacteria
Description: partial 16S ribosomal RNA
Rfam family: Bacterial small subunit ribosomal RNA
Source: RNAcentral
GUGGGGAAUCUUGCGCAAUGGGCGAAAGCCUGACGCAGCAACGCCGCGUGCGGGAUGAAGGCCUUCGGGUUGUAAACCGCUUUCAGCAGGGACGAAAAUGACGGUACCUGCAGAAGAAGCUCCGGCUAACUACGUGCCAGCAGCCGCGGUAAUACGUAGGGAGCAAGCGUUGUCCGGAGUUAUUGGGCGUAAAGAGCUCGUAGGCGGUUUCGUAAGUCGAGUGUGAAAAAUCUGGGCUUAACCCAGUGGAGCACUCGAUACUGCGAUGACUUGAGUCUGGUAGAGGAGUGUGGAAUUCCUGGUGUAGCGGUGAAAUGCGCAGAUAUCAGGAGGAACACCAACGGCGAAGGCAGCACUCUGGGCCAGUACUGACGCUGAGGAGCGAAAGCGUGGGGAGCAAACAGGAUUAGAUACCCGAGUAGUCC